AAUUCGUUUAUGAUUUUAAUCUCUUAAGGAUAAGCUUAAGAGAAAGAGUAGAGAAAAUAGAAAUCUAACUUGAUGACAUAGGCUUGAAAUUAGCUAUUGAUUAAACUUGUUAUAAAGUAGUAACUUAAUAAGGAAAAAUAUUUGUAUUUUAUAAUUGCGGAUAAAUAAGAACAAUAAGAGGAACUAAAUUGACCUAAAUUAGCUUAUGCUAAAAUGAGUAUUAGAAAUCUUAAUCUUUUAAGCAGGAACGUUAACAAUGCUUAUAGCUAAUUAUUCAUAGAAGAUGAAGUAAAGGAUAGGAACUCGGCAAAAUUUAGCUUCGCCUGUUUAUCAAAAACAUGGCUUCUUGUUAAAAAUAAGAAGUCUGACCUGCCCGGUGAAAAUUUUAACGGCCGCGGUACUCUGACCGUGCAAAGGUAGCAUAAUCAUUUGCCUUAUAAUUGGAGGCUGGUAUGAAUGGUUUGACGGAAGCAAAACUGUCUUUUCUUUAUUACCUAGAAUUUGACUUUUAGGUGAAGAGGCCUAAAUAUAAUUGAAAGACAAGAAGACCCUGUCGAGCUUCAAGGUAGCUUAGGUAAAUAGCUUAUAAAUCUAGAUUUGUUACUAAGUUUAUCCUUUUGGUUGGGGCGACUAAGGAACAAGUAAAGCUUCCUUUAUUUUUUUUGCUUAUCAGCACUGAUCCAACAAGGUUGAUUAAAAGAAUUAGUUACCGCAGGGAUAACAGCAUAAUCUCUCUCGAGAGACCAAAUCGAAAGAGGGGGUUGUGACCUCGAUGUUGGACUAGAAUAUCCUAAAGGUGUAGAAGUCU
This 808-nucleotide ribosomal RNA is filed under the name Potadoma freethi. RNAcentral describes it as "partial 16S ribosomal RNA". It matches the Rfam family "Bacterial large subunit ribosomal RNA", at positions 969 to 2564 of the family's 2925-position model. Lineage: Eukaryota; Metazoa; Mollusca; Gastropoda; Pleuroceridae. The record is from RNAcentral.